Molecule: ribosomal RNA, 754 nt
Filed under: uncultured bacterium
Lineage: Bacteria
Description: SSU rRNA
Rfam family: Bacterial small subunit ribosomal RNA
Source: RNAcentral
GCAAUACCUAGUGGCGGACGGGUGAGUAACGCGUGGGAAUCUGCCUUGAAAUGGGGGAUAGCAAGCCGAAAGGUUUAUUAAUACCGCAUAUGAUUACAUCAAGACAUUUUUGUAAUUGAAAGGAGCAAUCCGUUUCAAGAUGAGCCCGCGUCCGAUUAGCUAGUUGGUAGGGUAACGGCCUACCAAGGCGACGAUCGGUAGGUGGUCUGAGAGGAUGAUCACCCACAAUGGGACUGAGACACGGCCCAUACUCCUACGGGAGGCAGCAGUGGGGAAUUUUGUGCAAUGGGGGAAACCCUGACACAGCGACACCGCGUGAACGAAGAAGCCCUUUGGGGUGUAAAGUUCUGUCGGCUGGAACGAAAACAAUGACGGUACCAGCAAAGGAAGCAUCGGCUAACUACGUGCCAGCAGCCGCGGUAAGACGUAGGAUGCAAGCGUUGUCCGGAUUUAUUGGGCGUAAAGAGUUCGUAGGCGGUUUACUAAGUCUGAUGUUAAAGACCGGGGCCCAACCCUGGGACUGCAUUGGAUACUGGUAGGCUUGAGUGUGGUAGAGGCAAGUGGAAUUCCCAGUGUAGCGGUGAAAUGCGUAGAUAUUGGGAAGAACACCAGUGGCGUAGGCGACUUGCUGGGCCAUAACUGACGCUGAGGAACGAAAGCCAGGGGAGCGAAUGGGAUUAGAUACCCCAGUAGUCCUGGCCGUAAACGAUGGAUACUAGGCGUAGUGGGUAUCGACCCCUACUGUGCCGCAGCU